Molecule: unclassified non-coding RNA, 322 nt
Filed under: Hevea brasiliensis (rubber tree)
Lineage: Eukaryota; Viridiplantae; Streptophyta; Magnoliopsida; Malpighiales; Euphorbiaceae
Source: RNAcentral
AUUGUGAAGAUCAUGUUGACUAAUGUAAGCACAAGUUCUCCGAGGAAUGAACUCAUGCAAUUCAUGACCACAGUAGGUGAUUUUCCCAAUUUCCUUUAAAUUCGGAUCAAGUUUCCCAGCAAGUGCAAGCAACAAUGUUGUUUUCCCAGCACCUGGGGGACCAAGCAGUAGGGUCAUCCUCGACGGUUUGACGAUUCCACUGAUAUCUUGAAGAAUCUGGAUUUUUCUCUUUUUUGAUGGAGCAAGCCGAAUCAAACCAAGAAUGUUCUCAAUCCCGUUUAGAGUAGCGUAAAACAGGGUAGGAAGAGCUCUGCUCCCUAUA